GGGAGUGUAGUUUCAGAUUGGCUGUGUCGGCAACAGGCAAGCUGUGGGCUCUCCCACAAUGCACUGCUCUGUGAUCCAGAGGCACAGCCGCUCCUGCAGACAUGGAGACAGGUCAGGCCGUGCCAUCUCCACAGCAGCCUCACCACCAGCUCUAAAAGAGGUGCUUCCAGAACCCAGCGCCACAGGUUUUAUCUUAUGAAACACACACUGGUCUUACUUUUGAUUUAUCAUAAUAGCAGCCCGUGCCUUUUUUUUUUUUUAAACCGCAUCGCUUUUUUCCAAAGCACGUUCACGUUUGCUACCUGAUGGACGUCAGGCCACUAAUAAUUUUCCCAUUUUGCCCAUAAAGGACUAAGACCAUUGCAGUUUGACUAAGGUCACAGAGAACGUAAGCAGUAGAGUUGAAAUCCACAUCAGCCUUCUAUGGGAGCCAUGCCCCAACUCUCGACACGCCCAGAUGAAGAAGAACGGAAAAGAGAUUUGAUCUCUGUGCCUAUUAACCAUGCCAAUAGAAGGUUGUGUGAAAAACGAAGCUAUUGGUAGAAGUUUGGAAAAAAAUCUAGUGAUUAGACCAGCAGAAGACCUGAACUUCGGAGAAGACCACAAAUGAAUUAAAAGCCCAGUUCUCUUUUCAAAAGCUAACACGAAAUGAGGAUGGGUUUUAUACAAAAGCAGCUGCUCCUGCCAGUGAGCUUAUGCAUGUCUGUCUUUCAUAUGCCACAGUCAGACCUAGGAAAUUCCCUGGGAAGUCCCCUCUACCACAGUGCUUGCCGUUUCUCCAUUUGACUAUAAUUCUAUUGACUCUUGGGAGAUUGAUCUUCAGGAAGCUCUUAUCACAAAACAGCUCUUCCUGGAGUGAGGAGAGAGCAUGGUACCUGGGAAGACAAAGGGAGUGGACUGGGACAUGGGAAUCUGGUUCCCAUUUUAGUUCUACAACUAGCAGCCUGGUGGCUUUAGGAGGAGCCUGCCAUUUCCCUGGCCUCAGUGGUUUCAUCUGUAAAUUGGAACGGCCUGGAGACGAUAAAAGUGAAAGCAUCCAUCACCAUGCCUGGAAGUGCUCAAGAAAUGAUUCUUUCCUGCCUGCUGACUUCCAUUUUCCAUCUGUAAGAGCAAAGAGGAGAAGAGGCACAGGAAUUCCCAGGCAAGAAAUAAUAGAUAGUAAAAGCUGUUGCACGGAGCUCCUGGAAGGCUGGUGAGCAGCAAAUGGACAAGAGAAGCUAUUCGCAUCUUCCAAACUCUGAGACAAGACAUCCCGGGACAAAUCACUGUGAGGACUGCAGCCAGUUAUGGCAGAAGGUCCUGCAUUACUGAAUCUGGAGCUGGAGGAGUCCAGGAGACACCAGCAGUCAUUUUGCCAGAAAUAUCGAUCAGCCAGAGAAUACACGUCUGUGAACUGGGGAUUGACAUGGAAUCCAAUGAGCAUCCCAAACACUUCAAGCUCUAUUAGAUUCAUUAGUCAGAAGACCUCCUGGCAGAAUGACUUGUGUUGUGGCCUGAAUCAGCUUCUCCAGCUUUGGACUCCACUCAAGACUGAGUAACCUUAUGCCUUACUCAGCAACAUGGUCAGAGGAGGACAUCCAUAUGUGGAACAGUAACCAUCUACUUCAAGUGCAAAACACUCAGCUCUUUGCAGGGAAAGAAUAACAGCCUGAGAGUUGGGAGAGGGGAAUUCCAGGCUCAGCUCUCCUCAUCCAGAUCCCUUGUGAGGUUGACGGGGCAGUAGCAUGAGCCUUGUUUUGCAGACUUGGAAAUGGGAAACCCAAGAGAGUUUGAGAAGCCCCCCCUGCCACGGGUCCUCUAUCUUCCCCACAAGACUGCAAGCAUCAAGAGGGCAGGGCUUUUGCUCAUUUUCUAUCCUGUGAUUACAAUGCAAACACCCCACAUCAAAAUCAACACCCUAAUGAUCUUCACGGAUGCUGAGCGAGUGGUAUGUUGAAGAGAGGCAUGGCGGUGGUAAAGGAGGUAAAAGAGCCUCAAAGGCAAGUCAGGCUACUGUCCUCUUGUCCAGGUGGCCUUACGUGUUUUUUUUGUACAACCUCAUUAAUUGAAGGAGAAGCGGGUGACAGAGGAUGAGAUGGUUGGACGACAUCAUUGACUCAAUGGACAUGAGUCUGAGCAAACUUCAGGAGAUGGUGAAGGACCAGGAAGCCCAGCAUGCUGCAGUUUAUGGGGUUGCAGAGUUGGACAGGACUGAGCGACUGAACAGCAACAAUUUAUUUCACAUUCUUCAUCUCUGAUUUGAGCCCUGGACUUGUUACCGGCGCACAGUACCCCCAGACAGCCAGCAAGUGUGCCCUAGUGGUGUUGCCACAUGCUGAAAUUAGCCUCUUUGAGCAAUUCCUUUUUCUAAUGUUAGUGGAGGGAGUUCCCACCAUAAGGGUUUCUGGUUCAUUUGUGUUACUGGGUCUCUCAGGGCCACACUUCUGUUUUCAGAGAGAAUUUUGGCAUCGGGCUCCUUCUGACAUGUCAGGCUGAAAAGUGAUUUUGAGCCAAAAGUUCUGUUGCUUCAUUUCGGUUAUUUAUGAGAGGCUGGUAUUUUCUGCUAACAAAGACAAUGGGAAAUUUCAAAACCUAAAAAUUAUCAAGCUGUUGGGAUAAUGGUGGGAAAAUAGAAAUUGCAAAGUAUUUCUCAACAGUUGGAGUAACUUGCCUUCCAUAUUUUUUCCCAAGAUAAUUAUGAAGAUAAAUGCCACUUGCCUUUUGGAAUCUUUUUGCUGAUAAGUAUGAAACUAUUCCAGGGAGAUUCUGAAUGCCGGGUCCCCAUGACCACACACUCCUAUAGGAGAAUGCAAUCUGCCUGUACUUUCAUCUGUUGGUUAGUGAACGAAUGGAAGAAUAAGUGAAUGAGAAAACCACUCAGCUACACACACACACACACAUUGCCACACAUACUCAUGCAUUACUUAGUUUGAGGCUAGAUUGUUUCUUUAUCUUAAAAAAUGUGGGGGGUUUCUCUGAUUAUAAAACUAACAUGUCAUUAUAAAAUGCUUGGAAAAUACAGAAAAGUAUAAAGAAAAAAAUAAAGACAUCCAUAAUCCAGCCUCACAGAAAGAUCUUAUUAACACUGAGGUUUAUAUCACAUGAUUGUUUUUUUGAGCAUGUAAAUGUUGCAUGGCUGAGAUGUUACUGUGCAUACUGUUAAUAUCUGUAUUAGAAUUCUAAGAUAAUUCCCCAAUGCCUGAUACCCUUGAUUUAUCUCCUUCUCCUGGAGCAUGGGCAGAAGUGACCUGCAAAUGGGAAAUAGAUAUCACUCCCAUGACUGGGUUAUGUUACAAUGGGCUUUACGAAAAGGAGAUUAUCCCAGGUGGGUCUGACCCAAUCAGGUGAACCUUAUAAGAGACUGGACUUUUCCUGGACACAGAGAUAUGAAGCAUGAGAAGGAUUUAAAGUGAAGGAGAUUCUCUCUUGGUGGCCUUGAAGAUACAGAGGGCCACAGGGCAAAUAAUUCUGGAAGGUUUCAGAAGUUAAGAGCAGUCCUGACUGACAUCCAAUAAAGAGACAGGACCUCAGUCCUACAACCACAAGGAACUAUAUUCUCAAACUAGUUGAAUGAGUUUAAAAGAAGACCCCAGCUCCAGAUGAAGACUCACCCAGGCCAACACAUUCAUUUUUGUCAUGAGACCCCACAUCUACAGAACCACAAAAUAAUAAGUGCCUACAUUUGUAGUAAUUUGCCAUGUUGCAAUAGAAAAAUGACCAAAUAUUCUUUUUCAUUCACAUUACAACAUAAACCUUUUUUCCUAUUAUUGUUAAUUAAAAUUUUCAUAUUUUACAUAUUAGCCCCCAAUUAAAUAAAUUUAAAUUUAAAAAAAAGAAAGGAAAAAAGUUCAUAUUUUCAUCUAAUAAGUGUACAGAUCAUUUGUUGUUGUUCAGUUACUCAGUCCUGUCUGAUUCUUCAUGAC
Bubalus bubalis (water buffalo) is the source of this 3902-nucleotide long non-coding RNA. RefSeq lists it as uncharacterized. The transcript is spliced from 10 exons. The record is from RefSeq and is a predicted model, not a curated record. Lineage: Eukaryota; Metazoa; Chordata; Mammalia; Artiodactyla; Bovidae.